This 119-nucleotide ribosomal RNA is filed under the name Pteropus alecto (black flying fox). The record is from RNAcentral. Lineage: Eukaryota; Metazoa; Chordata; Mammalia; Chiroptera; Pteropodidae.
GUUUAUGGCCAUGCCACCCUGAGCAAGCCCGAUCCCAUCUGAUCUCGGAAGCUAAGCAGGGUCGGGCCUGGUUAGUACUUGGAUGGGAGACCACCUAGGAAGACCAGGUGCUGUAGGCG